This is a non-coding RNA of Danio rerio (zebrafish), 119 nucleotides long. The record is from Rfam. Lineage: Eukaryota; Metazoa; Chordata; Actinopteri; Cypriniformes; Danionidae.
GCUUACGGCCAUACCACCCUGGCAAUGCCCCAUCUCAUCUGAACUCGGAAGUAAAGCAGGGUCGGGCCUGGUUAGUACUUAGAUGGGAGACCGCCUGGCAAUACCAGGUGCUGUAAGCU